CCUACGGGUGGCAGCAGUGGGGAAUAUUGCACAAUGGGCGGAACCCUGAUGCAGCGACGCCGCGUGAGUGAAGAAGCGCCUCGGCGCGUAAAGCCCUGUCAGCAGGGAAGAAAAGGACGGUACCUGUAUAAGAAGCCCCGGCUAACUACGUGCCAGCAGCCGCGGUAAUACGUAGGGGUCAAGCGUUAUCCGGAUUUACUGGGUGUGAAGGGGGCGCAGACGGGGAUGCAAGCCAGGAGUGAAAGCCCGGGGCCCAACCCCGGGACUGCUCUUGGAACUGCGUGGCUGGAGUGCAGGAGGGGCAGGCGGAAUUCCUGGUGUAGCGGUGAAAUGCGUAGAUAGCAGGAGGAACACCAGUGGCGAAGGCGGCCUGCUGGACUGCAACUGACGUUGAGGCCCGAAAGCGUGGGGAGCAAACAGGAUUAGAUACCCGGGUAGUC
RNAcentral lists this ribosomal RNA (440 nucleotides) under uncultured bacterium. RNAcentral describes it as "partial 16S ribosomal RNA". It matches the Rfam family "Bacterial small subunit ribosomal RNA", at positions 338 to 795 of the family's 1533-position model. The record is from RNAcentral.